GAUGAACGCUGACAGAAUGCUUAACACAUGCAAGUCAACUUGAACUUCGGUUUGUGUGGCGGCCGGGUGAGUUACGCGUAAAGAACUUGCCUCACAGCUAGGGACAACAUUUGGAAACGAAUGCUAAUACCUGAUAUUAUGAUUAUAUGGCAUCGUAUAAUUAUGAAAGCUAUAUGCGCUGUGAGAGAGCUUUGCGUCCCAUUAGCUAGUUGGAGAGGUAACAGCUCACCAAGGCGAUGAUGGGUAGCCGGCCUGAGAGGGUGAUCGGCCACAAGGGGACUGAGACACGGCCCUUACUCCUACGGGAGGCAGGAGUGGGGAAUAUUUGACAAUGGACCGAGAGUCUGAUCCAGCAAUUCUGUGUGCACGAUGAAGUUUUUCGGAAUGUAAAGUGCUUUCAGUUGGGAAGAAAAAAAUGACGGUACCAACAGAAGAAGUGACGGCUAAAUACGUG
This 454-nucleotide ribosomal RNA is filed under the name uncultured bacterium. RNAcentral's name for it is "partial 16S ribosomal RNA". It matches the Rfam family "Bacterial small subunit ribosomal RNA", at positions 28 to 507 of the family's 1533-position model. The record is from RNAcentral.